RNAcentral lists this unclassified non-coding RNA (236 nucleotides) under Hevea brasiliensis (rubber tree). Lineage: Eukaryota; Viridiplantae; Streptophyta; Magnoliopsida; Malpighiales; Euphorbiaceae. The record is from RNAcentral.
AACUUUCAUCUAUAUUUCUGCCUAAGGACCUAUCUUAAUGUCUUAGAAAGAGUUCUUUGCCUUCUUUAGCAAAAGGACCCAAAUUAGGUCGGUGGGAGACUGGGAGCUGAUCUUAUGGUCUUUGCUUUGAUAUCCAUGCGAAGGAAAAUUAAGAAUCUUAGAACUUAUCAUUUCAUUUAAAAGAUCUCAUUAACUUAUUAGGAGAUUAAGAUUAUAAUUGCCUUUUCUGUAGAGAA